Molecule: ribosomal RNA, 320 nt
Filed under: uncultured Prevotella sp.
Lineage: Bacteria; Pseudomonadati; Bacteroidota; Bacteroidia; Bacteroidales; Prevotellaceae
Description: partial 16S ribosomal RNA
Source: RNAcentral
GGAGUUUGGUCCGUGUCUCAGUACCAAUGUGGGGGACCUUCCUCUCAGAACCCCUACUGAUCGAUGGCUUGGUGGGCCGUUACCCCGCCAACAACCUAAUCAGACGCAUCCCCAUCCCUUAGCGAUAAAUCUUUGUUCCAGCUCAGAUGUCUUCAUCGGAAAACAUAGGGUAUUAAUCCGACUUUCGCCGGGCUAUGCCCUACUAAGGGGAAGGUUGGAUACGCGUUACUCACCCGUGCGCCGGUCGCCAUCAGUCUUAGCAAGCUAAGACCAUGCUGCCCCUCGACUUGCAUGUGUUAAGCCUGUAGCUAGCGUUCAUC